GACGAACCGUGCAAACGUUGUUCGGAAUCACUGGGCUUAAAGGGCGCGUAGGCGGCAGAUCAAGUCAGGGGUGAAAUCCGGCAGCUCAACUGUCGAAGUGCCUUUGAUACUGAUUUGCUCGAGGGAGAUAGGGGUCUGCGGAACUUCUGGUGGAGCGGUGAAAUGCGUUGAUAUCAGAAGGAACGCCGGUGGCGAAAGCGGCGGACUGGAUCUCUUCUGACGCUGAGGCGCGAAAGCUAGGGGAGCAAACGGG
RNAcentral lists this ribosomal RNA (253 nucleotides) under uncultured bacterium. RNAcentral describes it as "partial 16S ribosomal RNA". It matches the Rfam family "Bacterial small subunit ribosomal RNA", at positions 524 to 776 of the family's 1533-position model. The record is from RNAcentral.